Molecule: ribosomal RNA, 734 nt
Filed under: Caryophanales bacterium
Lineage: Bacteria; Bacillati; Bacillota; Bacilli; Caryophanales
Description: bacterial SSU rRNA
Rfam family: Bacterial small subunit ribosomal RNA
Source: RNAcentral
UACGGAGAUCAGCGGCGGACGGGUGAGUAACACGUGGGCAACCUGCCUGUAAGACUGGGAUAACUCCGGGAAACCGGGGCUAAUACCGGAAAACCCUUCGGACCUCAUGGUCCGGAGCUGAAAGACGGUUAUGCUGUCACUUACAGAUGGGCCCGCGGCGCAUUAGCUAGUUGGUGAGGUAACGGCUCACCAAGGCGACGAUGCGUAGCCGACCUGAGAGGGUGAUCGGCCACACUGGGACUGAGACACGGCCCAGACUCCUACGGGAGGCAGCAGUAGGGAAUCUUCCGCAAUGGACGAAAGUCUGACGGAGCAACGCCGCGUGAGUGAAGAAGGUUUUCGGAUCGUAAAACUCUGUUGUUAGGGAAGAACAAGUACGAGAGUAACUGCUCGUACCUUGACGGUACCUAACCAGAAAGCCACGGCUAACUACGUGCCAGCAGCCGCGGUAAUACGUAGGUGGCAAGCGUUGUCCGGAAUUAUUGGGCGUAAAGCGCGCGCAGGCGGUCUUUUAAGUCUGAUGUGAAAGCCCCCGGCUCAACCGGGGAGGGUCAUUGGAAACUGGAGGACUUGAGUGCAGAAGAGGAGAGCGGAAUUCCACGUGUAGCGGUGAAAUGCGUAGAGAUGUGGAGGAACACCAGUGGCGAAGGCGGCUCUCUGGUCUGUAACUGACGCUGAGGCGCGAAAGCGUGGGGAGCGAACAGGAUUAGAUACCCUGGUAGUCCACGCCGUAA